CCUACGGGAGGCAGCAGUGGGGAAUUUUGGACAAUGGGCGCAAGCCUGAUCCAGCAAUGCCGCGUGAGUGAAGAAGGCCUUCGGGUUGUAAAGCUCUUUUGUCAGGGAAGAAACGGCUGAGGUUAAUACCUUUGGCUAAUGACGGUACCUGAAGAAUAAGCACCGGCUAACUACGUGCCAGCAGCCGCGGUAAUACGUAGGGUGCAAGCGCUAAUCGGAAUUACUGGGCGUAAAGCGUGCGCAGGCGGUUUUGUAAGUCUGACGUGAAAUCCCCGGGCUCAACCUGGGAAUUGCGUUGGAGACUGCAAGGCUGGAGUCUGGCAGAGGGGGGUAGAAUUCCACGUGUAGCAGUGAAAUGCGUAGAGAUGUGGAGGAACACCGAUGGCGAAGGCAGCCCCCUGGGUCAAGACUGACGCUCAUGCACGAAAGCGUGGGGAGCAAACAGGAUUAGAUACCCUGGUAGUCCACGCCCUAAACGAUGUCUACUAGUUGUCGGGUCUUAAUUGACUUGGUAACGCAGCUAACGCGUGAAGUAGACCGCCUGGGGAGUACGGUCGCAAGNUUAAAACGUUAAAUGAAUUGACGG
This 586-nucleotide ribosomal RNA is filed under the name uncultured bacterium. Its description in RNAcentral is "bacterial SSU rRNA". It matches the Rfam family "Bacterial small subunit ribosomal RNA", at positions 338 to 916 of the family's 1533-position model. The record is from RNAcentral.